GGGUCUGUAGCUUAAUUGGGAAAGCAAGCAGAAAGAUGUCGGUACCGCUUCGCACCAAGCAAGCUACAAAUCCGACCAGAAUCCACCA
RNAcentral lists this transfer RNA (88 nucleotides) under Desertifilum sp. SIO1I2. Its description in RNAcentral is "tRNA-OTHER". The record is from RNAcentral. Lineage: Bacteria; Bacillati; Cyanobacteriota; Cyanophyceae; Desertifilales; Desertifilaceae.